UAGCUUAGUUGGUAGAGUGCAAGGCUCUUAACCUUAAGGUUGUGGGUUCAAACCCUAC
RNAcentral lists this transfer RNA (58 nucleotides) under Zea mays. It matches the Rfam family "tRNA", at positions 8 to 63 of the family's 71-position model. From Rfam's summary of the family: Transfer RNA (tRNA) molecules are approximately 80 nucleotides in length. The record is from Rfam by way of RNAcentral. Lineage: Eukaryota; Viridiplantae; Streptophyta; Magnoliopsida; Poales; Poaceae.